AACGAACGCUGGCGGCAGGCUUAACACAUGCAAGUCGAACGCUCGUAGCAAUACGGGAGUGGCGGACGGGUGAGUAACGCGUGGGAACGUGCCCUGAGGUACGGAAUAACUGCGGGAAACUGCAGCUAAUACCGUAUGAGCCCCGUGAGGGGGAAAGAUUUAUCGCCUUAGGAGCGGCCCGCGUCGGAUUAGCUAGUUGGUGGGGUAACGGCUUACCAAGGCUUCGAUCCGUAGCUGGUCUGAGAGGACGAUCAGCCACACUGGGACUGAGACACGGCCCAGACUCCUACGGGAGGCAGCAGUGGGGAAUCUUGCGCAAUGGGGGCAACCCUGACGCAGCCAUGCCGCGUGAAUGAUGAAGGCCUUAGGGUUGUAAAGUUCUUUGCCCGUGACGAUGAUGACGGUAACGGGAGAAUAAGCUCCGGCUAACUUCGUGCCAGCAGCCGCGGUAAU
This 453-nucleotide ribosomal RNA is filed under the name uncultured bacterium. Its description in RNAcentral is "bacterial SSU rRNA". It matches the Rfam family "Bacterial small subunit ribosomal RNA", at positions 29 to 524 of the family's 1533-position model. The record is from RNAcentral.